UUCAUCUGGCCACCGAAGAAGCAAUGGCGAUCUACAAGGCCAAGCUCGCGCCGCAGGGUGCGGUGGUGAUGCAUGUCUCCAACCGGCAUCUCGAACUCGCGAGCGUUGUCGUCGGCAUUGCCGAGGAAAAUGAUCUCAAGAGCUGGGUCUUCAAUGAGGAUUCCGGACGUGACGGCGAAUACAUCUUCACGACCAAUGUCGUGAUCUCGGCGCAUGAAGAGGCGGACGUCGGCAAGAUCGCGUCGGACGAGAAGUGGGUGCUGACGGAAGCCACCGAAGGCCAGCGGGGCUGGACCG
Molecule: unclassified non-coding RNA, 297 nt
Filed under: Hevea brasiliensis (rubber tree)
Lineage: Eukaryota; Viridiplantae; Streptophyta; Magnoliopsida; Malpighiales; Euphorbiaceae
Source: RNAcentral